UGUGGCAAAUGCACCACUUAUUUCAGCAGAUGCAUUUGAAUCACAAUCUUCAAUUCCUUUUGUAAUCAAGAAAUCUAAUACUGGACUAAUAUUCCUUGGCUUGCUAGCAAUUGUGCUCCAUAGUUUUUCAAUUUCAUCAGGGAACUGAUCACCAUGUCGCCAUGUUACAUAAUAAAGACUCUUCAGCAAUCUUUCACUCCAACCUGAAUCCUUGAGUUUCCAGAAAUUGAGGUUCUCAAUCCAUGGAGCCAUGCAUGUUAAGACCUGAUGCUGUGCAAUUAUAUCAACAGCAUCCAGUUGCCUCUGCAUAAUCUCCUCACAAAGAAGCUGGCUUAAUUCAGGGUGAUCUUUGGCAAGUUUACAUGAAAGCUUGUACUGGAAUUGUUGGUAGGAAUCAGGGAGGUUGCCAACAACAGCAGCUCCAUAGCUUCCUGAGCCCUCAAUGCCAUCCUCAGCCCACUCACGGACAGAAAGUGUUUCAAGCAUCUGAAGGGCAUCAUCACGGAUUUGUCUGUUUGGGUCCACAACUUUGUAGAGGAUCAGGCUCAAAAGCCUCUGUAUUUCACAUUUUGGAAUCUCUUCGCGCAUGUAGACCUCAGCCAACACACUAAAGUAACCAUCAGCUAUAGCAGCAUCAGAAUAGUAGCACUGGUCAAUACAAGCUGGAAAAAGGUCCAAAUUGGUAAGAAGAAGAUUCUUCAAAGCCAACUUUGCUAAGGAAACACGAUGCUGACCUCCUCUAUGUCUGUCACGACCAGUAGCUCCACGCACACCUUCUCCUGUGUACUUGGAAUAAGAUGGAGUUGAUGGAGAGAAACCAAAUGGAGCCCUAGGUGCAGGGUCAUUGAACAAACUGUUGAUCCAUGAUAUCACCCGACCACUCAUUUUUCUUGCAUUGUCAUCAAAGCAUGGUCCAUAUAAAAGUGAAGCCAUAGCAUUCAUGGAUGCCCACUGUAUUGCCUCAAUUUGUUCAUUCAAUUCUUUAUCAAAUGAAAUUUUGUCUAUUGAAUCUUUUGACCGGUUGUGCUGUGAAGCCUUGUAACGUUCAACAUCACGUCGGUAAUCAUUAACACCAUCCUGCCCCCAUGUACCGCCAGUUUCAUCACUCCAGGACAGAAGUAGAUCAAAUAGCCGCUUUCUUGUUCUGAGGUCAAAUUUUUCUGAUUUUGACUCAACAAAUUCAGGUGCAAGAGACCUUAAAACAGAAGCAAGUGCAUAACGGAGAGGUUGCAUUUCUUGGAAGUUCUCAUUUGUUGCUGUAAAGAUCUGUCUAGUUAUUUC
RNAcentral lists this unclassified non-coding RNA (1281 nucleotides) under Hevea brasiliensis (rubber tree). The record is from RNAcentral. Lineage: Eukaryota; Viridiplantae; Streptophyta; Magnoliopsida; Malpighiales; Euphorbiaceae.